Equus caballus (horse) is the source of this 7639-nucleotide long non-coding RNA. The record is from Ensembl. NCBI's taxonomy places the organism in Eukaryota, Metazoa, Chordata, Mammalia, Perissodactyla, Equidae.
CCUCGGCUUCCUGAAGGACGCAGUGGGGCCGCCCGGCGCUGCCUGCCUCCAGGGUGGUUGUGAGAGGCGGGUGGGGGCAGGUGUGACAGUGCUUGGACUGUAGUCUCCACAAACAGGACGGGUGCCGAGAUGGAGCAGGCGUCUGGUGCUUGUUUGUUAGGGAAAACAGCUUCAGAAAGUAGACUUCAGAGCAGACGGCUCUCCCCACCAACUGCAAACCAGUGAAAACUGGCCUGAGUUGACUACACUUAACGGAGCCAAGGAAACCUGACUUAAGUCCUCAACGAGCAAACCUUUAACUGGAGACCCCAGAAGAGAAGCCUCGGGGUCUGGUCUUGCCACACCCACCUGCCACUUUAGCUCGGGUCAGGCACUGUCCCUCCCUGGACCUUCCCACGAGCACUGGGGCCGGGAGGGUGAGGAGAGGCUCAGAUGAGGCUGGGCUCGUGAGGAGCCACGCUCACCCUCACCUUAGCACCCUCAUGCCUGGACUGCAGACCUGGCUCUAAACUUCCUAGCGGCCACUGGGAAGAGAAACGACCAGAUAGAGAUUGUCUGAAGCAAAAAACAAAUGUGAUUUCUCAGGAAAAGCUUCCCUCGUCCUGACAGGAAAAGCACAGCAGUGUCUCCUGCGCGGCAUCACUGACGUGCCGGGCACGCAUCCCUCGCGGAGGCAACAGCGAUGGGGUCCUACAGCUUUACAAACACAGCUCAGACGUGGCCCUGCAGAGAUGGCGAGGCCAGCCUGGAGGCCCCUGCACCAUGUCAACAUCGAGCUCACACGUUUGGCUGCGCCCCGUGCGGGCUGCGGGCACCCCGACAGCGGGGCACGUGGCAGAGGUAUCGGGUGGUGGCACCGCACUCUCAAGAUUCACAGAACAUGGUAGGCCCACCUGAUUGGCAUGGCACUGAGUCCUGUACAGCUUUUAAAAAGACAAUUAUGACACAGAGUUCAAGUCCAGGAGAACUGUACAGUAAUUGAGUACAAAGUUUGGUGGCCUUGCCCGUGGCCCGCUGGGACAGAUGCCAUUUGAGCUCUGCCUUGAUUCUGUCACCCGGGUGGCAGCCAGCUGGGUGAGUGGUCACAGGCUGGGGCCAGGGGUUCACCAAUGAGCACACAGCCCUUUUUUGCCAGCAGGUGGGGGGUGGCCUUCCCCCCACCCCCACGAGCCCUGGGAAUUCGGCACGUGUGGGUGAGAACCCAGAGGGGAAGGAAGAGCCUGGGGUGCUGCCAGAGGUCUGAGUGUGCUGGGGCCCUCUAAUCUCAGGGGGCGGGCUUCUCUAAACCCAGCUGAAUGCUGCUGGCAUCCCUGCCCCACUCGUGUCCUGAGGCCCAGCCAGCCAGGGGCAGAGAACACUGGCUAAGAGGAUCCUGGCUCAAGGUGGGCAGACUUCCUCCAGCGGCAACAAAACAAUGCAAAAAAGCCCCUGUGGAACCUAGAGCCACCAAGGGUGGUGGCAACAGCAGCUGGUAACAGCCCCCACCGCCUGCCCGUCCUGAGGCCCACAGGGGAGCCACGGCCGCCCCUCACUGGCACCAGGUGAAGCUAAGGCACAGCACGGGCCGCGGUGCGACUGGGCACUACUUCCAAGAAGGGCACUGCAUUCACUUCGUGUGCACUUCACUCUGCUCAGAACAGUAUGUGCAUUUUUAUAGUUUCCCUGAAUGGUCUUGUGUCAAAAAAGUUUUCUUUGCCAAUAAAAAAUAGGAAAAUUACACAUGUAGUAAAAAUACGGGGGGAGUAUUUCUUCAUAGAAACCCUCAGGGCUGGCUCGAGGCGGAGGGAGAGCAGGAGAGCCCGGAACAUCAUCUGCUGUGCAAAGUCCAGCUCGGAGCCAUCUCCUCAGGGCCGGCCGCAACUCGCCCGGCGAGGCCGUGGCAGUGGGCCAAGUGCAAACUCUGCGUGUGGCUUUGAAACACCCACGUUCAGGAGAGGAGGGGGUGACUGACGACCACCCCACACAGAUUAAGCAAGCACCUUCCGGGCUAGCCCACCCAACCAACCCGUACCAGGGGCUGCGGCGGGCGGCGGGCUGGGACACACACAACUGUCUUUUGAAAACAAACCAGAAAUGAUGAACCAUGCUUACUAGAUAAAGCUGCAACAGGAGGACCACGAUUCUAAACAGGAACGGAGGGAGGCUUUUUCCUCCAAACUCGUGAGUUCAUCAACACUACGAGACUUAGAAAUGAUACCGAGAACGCAAACCAGCGCAACCACAGGGAUGCCAGGCGGAGGCCCAGCACACACAGCCGCCUGGGUGUACACGACUGGUUUCUACGUCUACUUACCACUGACCUACAGUUCUAAAAUCAGAUGGACAUCCCGGCCCAGGGCACCGGAGCCCUUGGCAGAGCACCUGGUCCUCGAAGCCUCCCCGGUGUGUGCGGAACCCCGGCCAGCAGGCGCAGGUGAGGGAGCCUCCCAGGAGGCCGAGGGCCACUCACUGGAGGAUGAAGCCCGGCUGGUGAGGCAGCCGGGGUGGGGGUCUCUGGGGGAGAGGUGGCGGGUAUGGUGACACAAACUGUGUGGAGAAUCCUUGGGGGGGGGGAAGGCCCACGCGGGGGGGCAGGGGUGGGCACUGUGAUCCUGGGUACGGAAAGGCCUGUCCUGAGGCCAAGGCGGCGGUAAAUGGCGUGGCUGACCGUCCUGCAGGCACCGGGGGCGGUGGGGGUGGGAUGCGCCGAGGCACGACUGACGGGGGCCCGCUGGCCUCCGAGGCGGAGUAGGGCAGGGGGGCAGCGGGCACUGGUUCGGGCACCCUGGGGGGCAGCGGGGCUGGAGCUGGGGCCUGCGGAAGUCUCUGCCCCUUCAGCACCAUCUCCUGGAGCUUCUCAAUUUUAACUCUGCGCAUGUGGGCCAGUUUCCGCUUGCUCUGGUAGACAUCGAUGAAGGAGUCGAGAGGAAGCUCUCCAUCGAGAAACUUCUCUGCCAUGUUCUGGAAGCAGCAGGAGAAACCCGAUUACAGGGAAGGUCAGCUGUGAGGGAAGGCGCUCCCUCACUACCCGGUGCGCAGGGAGAGGCAGCACCCAGCUUCCUCCCAACACCUGUCCCCUUCUGCUAUCUGCCACCGCUCCAUGCUGCUGUCCUCAGUGGGGGCUCUGCCCUGGACAGAUGGGCUGGUCAUGCCUACCCCACCCUCCCAAACCACAGGCCAGACAGGCAGCAGGCCGUGGGGAGAGCCAGCCUUAAGACGAAGCCCCGAGCUGCUGGCUCUCCCGGCCCGGAGAGGAAACCACUGCACCCAGUUCUGACCCUCCCGCGUUAAACCAACUGGAAUCCAGUGUUUCCUUCCUUCCACCAGCCGCAUCCUGACAGACUGGCCCCGUUCGGAGUCAGCAGGACAGAAAUUUGCUCGUGCCCAUCAGGGCUCCCGCCUAAUGGCGAUGGUUAAUUAGACCAAGUAGCCUAACUUGGUAACACACUGCCAGCCCUGAUGCGCUACAACUGCGCAACUUUCAACCCUGACUCAUUUAUCACUUAGUGAGGCUCCAGCCUCAAGAGCCCAGCUGGCCACAUCCCACAGGCCCUGCCCCACCAGCUGACUCAGAGCGAAUGGGAGCUCAGCCACUGGCACCCACAGGACCAGUGCCAAUUCACAGGGCAGCGUGCAUCCCUCACUUGAGGACCAGACCUCAGCUUGGCACUUUCUCUGACCACAGGCCAGGCUGCCCAGGCUCACGUGCAGCUUACACAUGCGGGAGGCACCAUCUCCUGGCCAUGGAGAUGUGGCACUCACUGUCCCCGAGGGAACUGGGCCCAAAGUGGCCAGGACACGGGUAACUGUGCCCUGGGCACUCCACCAAGGCUGGCUGGCUUUACCUCGGUGUCUUCCUCGAUCUUGGCCCCUUCCGCCUGAAGAAGUGCUAGCAGGGUCUCCAAGGAAGCACUGCUGGACUGCUUAUCUGGAAGAGGAGGCGGCGCGAUGAGAGGGGCACGACCCCCAGCCCUUCAAACCUGCUCCUCCGCCUCCUUCCCUCCCCUGCCAGAGGAGGAGUGCCUUGUAACUGGAAAGGCACUAGGAGAGUCAAACCUUCUGAGAGCUGACUUUCCAGGAAGCUGAAAGUGAAGUAAGGCUUAAACUCCAGGGGAGGAACAAGUGCACGGACCAGUGUGGGCACUCGGGGCUGCACAUGCAUCAGCGUGCCGAGCAUCAGCACUGCCCUAGAGAACUGUACGGAACACCCGUUACAUAUGUCCCUUGUAUUUCUGAGUGAUAACUUACAUAAAGCAUACACGUCAUUAAGUGUAUCACGUGAUUUUUUACAUAUGUCUAAACCCCAGCAACCAGCACCAGCUCAGGACAUAGCAUAUUUGCAAAGCUCCCUCAGGCCCACCCCCAGCAACGCCCCCCAGAGGGAGGCCCUGAGCCGACCUGCACCACCCUGGAGUGCCACCCGGUCCUGAACCUCACACAAGCGGCAUCACAGUGUGUGCUCUGCGCCGGCUUCCUGCGCUCACACCAGGUCUCUGAUCUCACCCUAGUGUCAUAUGAAUCUGUCUGAGUCAGCAGCUGUCUCCUUCACUGCUGUGUCCAUUGUGUAAAUAUCACAACUAACCCAUCCCUCUGUAGCCUGACAUCUACACUGUUUCCACAUCUGGCUGUCAGGAAUACAGCUCCAAUGACCAUUCUUGUGCAUCUUCUGAGAGACAUAAAUGCGCACUGCUGCUGGAAACAGACCCGGAGUGGAAGUGCUGAAUCCCAGAGCACGCACAUCUCUCACGUUAGCAGGGACUGCCAAGCAGCUUUUCCGAGGUGGUCUUACCAGUUUACACUCCUACCAGCACUGGGCAGUGCCAGCCUUUUCAACUUUAUUCACUCUGGUGGGCACAUUAAAGUCCAUUUUUGCUGCCUUUACAGAGACAAUGAAAGGGGAUUUGGGCAUCAGAAGUCUCUGUAAACCUCUCUGCAGGGGGUAAUCUUUAACCUUCUCUAAUCUAAGUCUCUUCGAAAGCAAUCCAAAGUAUGGAGGACUCGAACAAUAUCCAACUCCACGCUCUCUUCAAAAUGGCUGUGAAUCAAAGUGUGACAUUAAAAUAAAAUGUUCCAGUGAGGAGUAUUUUUCAGAGUUAAUUCUGAGGGCUAACUUCACAAGAUAACACAUUUGUUGAACCAUAAUUCAGAAAACUGCCUCUUUCCUAAUGCUGUUUGGAGAAGGUGGAGUCUUAUUUAAAAAGCAGUUAAGUCUCUUUUCUAAAUUGGUGACAAUUCUAAAUAUAAACCAUUUCUUUGUGGCAGUAAUUACUGUCUUAAUCUGAAAUUUUCUCAUAAUAAUAUUUCUUUCCUGGUAGUGCAACAGCUUGAAAAUGUGUCCUUCCCUCAACUCUUUAUUCUUUUUUUCUUUAUUUUUGUUUUUUUGGUGAGGAAGAGUGGCCCUGAGCUAACAUCUGGUAUGUGGGCCACUGCCACAGGGUGGCUUGAUGAGCAGUGUGUGGGUCCAUGCCUGGGAUUCGAACCUCCAAACCCUGGGCCACCAAAGCAAAGCAUGCAAAUUUAACCACUACACCACCAGGCUGGCCCUCAACUUUUUAUUCUUGAAAGAUCACCCUAAAAAAGUUACCUAAUUUGGUCUUCUUUAUCUGAUAGGCUUCAAAGAGAACCUGAAGUUCCUGGUAUUUUUGGGUCAAACGUGCUUUCAGAGCAUCCAGUUGGGGCUGGUACAAAAGGUUUCCUUCUGCCAGGCUCCGGUUGCUGGCCAGCGUCAUUUCUUUGUUAAGCUGAACGUUCUGUGUCUGCAAGGAACACACAGGAUGAUGAGAACCAAAGUGUGUUAGUUCAUAGGCAAGUCCCCAGAGGUUCCCACGCCCCACGCCCAGGAGCUGCCACAUCUGCUUCCGUUUGGCUGUGUCUCCAGGCUCGGCCACGUGCGGGGCAGCCAUUCCCAGCCCCAAAGACUCCAGCCUCUCAGAUUUCUAGUUUGGACACUGCCCCCUAUUCUUAAACAGUGAGGCCACUUCCUUUCCAACCAGUUUGCAAGAUGGGCUUUGUCUUGUGACCUGUCGAGGCUUUCGCUUCAGCAGCUGCGCCGUGCCUGAAGUUCCUUACUCCCGCCACUGUGCUUGCAGGAAUAGACAGCUGUAAAGAUUUAGGGCUAGAUUUUUUCAAAACAAGUUCCUGCUACUCCAGAGAGUUAAAGAAUCGCUUUUAUCAGAGGAGGACCAGUCAGUGCAAUGUCAAUUCAGGCUUAACACUCAGGCUUACAGCUCAAGCACGAAAGCCUGAGGCCCCAGGGAUGAAUUCCGUUUACAGGAUUCUGCCCUCGUCCCUCCCCCACCCCAGCACCAGCUCUUCCUGGCUGAGGGGAGGGCCUCAUCUCGCCAGCUCCUGGCCAGUCCCUCAGUGAGGCUGACCCAAGGCUGGGCAAGGGGGACUUACUUGCCCAACAGGGUUUCAUUCUCCAAGUGGGGACACGUUAUUUGGGAGGUAGAGAAGCCCGCCUGGACGUCAGGAGUGAGAGGGAGAAAUGGAAGGUCUGAGAAAAAGGUAAGGAGCUCCUAAUAAAACUUAGCAAAAGUAUAUUAAAGAAAAACCAAAAAACACAAGGCAUCCGUGCCAUGUCCUCCAGCUCCCCUUUCACUCACCUUGAUCGGCUUCCUCCAGCGCGGCCUGCCCACUGCUCACAUUCUGGAUUUGAAGUUUCAACAACACACAAUUCCUUCCCCACACAUGCCCGCGUUUUUAGGAGCUCUUCUUCACCCCGACGCCAGGCAUCUCGUUUUUCCCCUUAAUAUUUCCUACCACCGCACCCAGGCUAUUUUCGCUGCUACUUCCUUCCUCUUGAUAGUUUGAGUGUAGAUUCCUGGCUGCGCUGCCUCUGCUCUGCACCCCUCCCCCCAGCCAUACCCAUUUGUUGCUCAUGCCCAGUUUCCAGCACACUCAUAGAGGCGUGUGCACACACACACACGCACGCACAACUUAGUGAAGGAAGAGAACAAAGGGAAAGCCCUUGGAUGGACGCCUCCACCAGGAGGCCCUGACCACCAGGCUGGGGGCUCUUCAGCAGACACAUAAUCUCUCUCUCCACACAGAUGAGCUGGGUGCAGGGCCUGAAAGAUUAGGCCAGCUCAAAACAGAAUUUAAAUUAAGGAUUUACAUUAAGAUAGAAAAUUAAGCCUCUAGCUCAACACUAAAAUUAGUGCAGUAGAAAUAGUUUCUGUUGGGGGCUGGAAAGACUGAGUUUAAACAGGGUUUCUGCUAUCUCGGGGUUUCGGAACGGCCCUCGGAGGGGGCUCCCCUCACUCGCUCCCCGCCUCCCCCUUACAGCGGCUCGCCCUCCAUGUGCACUGUAUCCCGAGGUCCUGCAGGAGAGUCUUUCCUUCGAUUGUUAAGCCAUUUAAAAGAACAAACAAAAAUAAACCAUUGCACAGCCACUCUGGAAGACAGCUCAGCAACUUCUUUUAAAACUAAACAUGCAACUACCAUAUGACCCCGAAAUUGUACUCCUGGGUAUUUAUCCCAGAGAAAUGAACAUUUAUAUUCACACGAAAACCUGUACGUGAACGUUCAGAACAGCUUUAUUUGUAACAGCCAAAACCUUGAAGCAACCCAGGUGUCCUUCGGCAAGUGAAGGGUUAACCAAAGUGAGUUCCAUCCACACCAGGGAACACUACUCAGCCAUAAAAAAGAACCAACUGUG